This 248-nucleotide unclassified non-coding RNA is filed under the name Hevea brasiliensis (rubber tree). The record is from RNAcentral. Lineage: Eukaryota; Viridiplantae; Streptophyta; Magnoliopsida; Malpighiales; Euphorbiaceae.
AGCCACAUCUUUUGUAGGGUCCAUACGAAGUAGCAGAAUUGUAGGAUUCGUAGUCAGCAAUCUCUGCGUUCUUUGGAGGGUGCCCUCUCCUCCCAGAGAAGAGACCUUCCCUUUUUCAACUUGGCCAAUCACAAUAUAUCGUUUGGCUUUCUUGCAGCCUCCGACAAGCAGCGAGGUGUGGACAUGUAUCGUCUCUCUUCAAACAGACACGUGGUAUUAACAAAAGUGAAUGCAUUGGAUUGCAGCCA